UUAUUAAAGUUUUAAUGUGGCAGAAAAGUGCCAUGGAUUUAAGCUCCAUUUAUAAAGGCUUAUAUCCUUUCAUUAAAA
Molecule: transfer RNA, 78 nt
Filed under: Libellula angelina
Lineage: Eukaryota; Metazoa; Arthropoda; Insecta; Odonata; Libellulidae
Description: tRNA-Leu
Rfam family: tRNA (bases 11-78)
About the family: Transfer RNA (tRNA) molecules are approximately 80 nucleotides in length. Their secondary structure includes four short double-helical elements and three loops (D, anti-codon, and T loops). Further hydrogen bonds mediate the characteristic L-shaped molecular structure. tRNAs have two regions of fundamental functional importance: the anti-codon, which is responsible for specific mRNA codon recognition, and the 3' end, to which the tRNAs corresponding amino acid is attached (by aminoacyl-tRNA synthetases). tRNAs cope with the degeneracy of the genetic code in two manners: having more than one tRNA (with a specific anti-codon) for a particular amino acid; and 'wobble' base-pairing, i.e. permitting non-standard base-pairing at the 3rd anti-codon position.
Source: RNAcentral